GCAUCGUUGGUCAAACGGUUACGAUUCUUGUCUUCCAAACAAGCGGCCCGGGUUCGACUCCCGGACGAUGCA
Molecule: transfer RNA, 72 nt
Organism: Aspergillus aculeatus ATCC 16872
Lineage: Eukaryota; Fungi; Ascomycota; Eurotiomycetes; Eurotiales; Aspergillaceae
Rfam family: tRNA
About the family: Transfer RNA (tRNA) molecules are approximately 80 nucleotides in length.
Source: Rfam